This 916-nucleotide long non-coding RNA is filed under the name Phaseolus vulgaris (common bean). RNAcentral's name for it is "long non-coding RNA (PVUL_LNC004695)". Lineage: Eukaryota; Viridiplantae; Streptophyta; Magnoliopsida; Fabales; Fabaceae. The record is from RNAcentral.
CGAAGCUUUCCCGGCUUCUGGUUCUGGUUUCACUGUUUCCUUAGCAGGUUCAUUUAUAUGAGUUUUCUCAGAAUGUUUCUCAGCUUGUUGUGACUCUGGUUUCACUGUUUCCUUGGCUGGUACACUUAUACCAGUUCGCUCUGAAGGUUUCUCAGCUUGUGAUUCUAGUUUCACUGUUUCCUUGGCUGGUUGACUUAUACCAGUUCGUUCUGAAGGUUUCUCAGCUUGUGAUUCUAGUUUCACUGUUUCCUUGGCUGGUUCACUUAUACCAGUUCUUUCUGAAGGUUUCUCGGUUUGUGAUCCUAGUUUCAUUGUCUCCUUUGCUGAUUCACUUAUACCAGAACGCUCUGAAGGUUUCUCAGCUUGUGAUCCUAGUUUCACUGUCUCCUUUGCUGAUUCACUUAUACUAGUUCCCUUUGAAGGUUGCUCCGCUUCUGAUUCUAAUUUCACUGUUUUCUUGGGUGGUUCACUUAUACUAGUUACCUCUGAAGGUUUCUCCGCUUCUGAUUUUAGUUUCACUGUUUCCUUGGCCGGUACACUUAUAAUAGUUACCUCUGAAGGUUUCUCAGCUUGUGAUUCUAGUUUCACUGUUUCCUUGGCUGGCUCACUUAUAAUAGUUACCUCCGAAGGUUUCUCAGCUUCUGAUUCUAGUUUCACUGUUUUCUUGGUUGGUUCACUUAUACCAGUUACCCCUGAAGGUUUCUCAGCUUCUGAUUCUAGUUUUCCUGUUUCCUUAGCUGGUUCACUUAUAAUAGUUACCUCUGAAGGUUUCUCAGAUUUUGCCUCUAGUUUCUCUGUCUCCUUAUCUGCUUCAUUGUUAAGAAUUCCUUCAGAAGGUUUCUCAGUUUGUGAUGUUUCUUUCUUCACAGUCUCAAAAUUUUGUUUUGAGGAUUCAUUGCUUUUACUUUCCUCGGAC